RNAcentral lists this ribosomal RNA (474 nucleotides) under Desulfovibrio sp. LVS-13. RNAcentral's name for it is "bacterial SSU rRNA". It matches the Rfam family "Bacterial small subunit ribosomal RNA", at positions 30 to 484 of the family's 1533-position model. The record is from RNAcentral. Lineage: Bacteria; Pseudomonadati; Thermodesulfobacteriota; Desulfovibrionia; Desulfovibrionales; Desulfovibrionaceae.
AUUGAACGCUGGCGGCGUGCUUAACACAUGCAAGUCGUGCGAGAAAGGGGACUUCGUUCCCUGAGUAGAGCGGCGCACGGGUGAGUAACGCGUGGAUCAUCUGCCCAAAUAUUCGGGAUAACGGCGGGAAACUGUCGCUAAUACCGCAUACGCUUCAAUUUCGGUUGGAGGAAAGGCGGCCUCUGCUUGGAAGCUGUCGCAUUUGGAUGAGUCCGCGUCCCAUUAGCUUGUUGGUGGGGUAACGGCCUACCAAGGCUACGAUGGGUAGCUGGUCUGAGAGGAUGAUCAGCCACACUUGAACUGAAACACGGUCCAGACUCCUACGGGAGGCAGCAGUGGGGAAUUUUGCGCAAUGGGGGAAACCCUGACGCAGCGACGCCGUGUGAGGGAAGAAGGCUUUCGGGUCGUAAACCUCUGUCGGGAAGGAAGAACCUCCCGGGUCCGAAUAGGGCUCGGGACUGACGGUACUUCCAA